RNAcentral lists this ribosomal RNA (255 nucleotides) under uncultured bacterium. RNAcentral's name for it is "partial 16S ribosomal RNA". It matches the Rfam family "Bacterial small subunit ribosomal RNA", at positions 524 to 776 of the family's 1533-position model. The record is from RNAcentral.
UACGUAGGGGGGCAAGCGUUGUCCGGAUUUAUUGGGCGUAAAGAGCGUGUAGGCGGCUAGAUAGGUCCGUUGUGAAAACUCGAGGCUCAACCUCGAGACGCCGAUGGAAACCAUCUGGCUAGAGUCCGGAAGAGGAGAGUGGGAAUUCCUGGUGUAGCGGUGGAAUGCGUAGAGAUCCGGAAGAACACCGGUGGCGAAGGCGGGUCACUGGGCCGAUACUGACGCUGAGGAGCGAAAGCGUGGGGAGCGAACAGG